This 514-nucleotide long non-coding RNA is filed under the name Coturnix japonica (Japanese quail). RNAcentral describes it as "lncRNA (ENSCJPG00005013868.1)". Lineage: Eukaryota; Metazoa; Chordata; Aves; Galliformes; Phasianidae. The record is from RNAcentral.
CAACCUAGAUUAGCGGCAGCAUGUGCUUGAGCAUGUCCUUACCUUUUUUGAGUGCUUUCCAUGAUAGCUUGGGAUGGACAGCACAAAGUAAAUCCCAUCCUACAGUUCAGUCUUUUGCAGAGAAGAAAAACUUAAUCUCAUGAAAAGAGGAAAGAUGACAAAGGGUCUUUGCAGAGGACGCUACCUUAGAAUUUCAGCAAUUAAAAAUAAUCAGCAGCAGGACCCCACCACCCCCAUGCAACAGAGGUUCAAAGAUGCUGCAUUCCUUGUGCUGUGCCACCAGCUCUGGCUGCCAGCGUGCCCUCUGAUGACUUUCUUUAAUCCUCUUUCUUGCAUAGAUGGGGACCAGAACCUAUGGAAACAACAACUGCAAGUGGAAAUCCAUGUGGAGAGAAGUACCUGCAUAUCCGUUCUAUUGAAAUGUUUCCAACAAAACCAAAAGGAUGUUGUGGCCAAAUGCCUGCAGUAUUAUGUCUGCAUAGAGUUCUUGGAUGGAAAAAAAAAAUGGAGAUAG